GAUGUUCACCAUCUUCUCGUCUCUGUUUCCCUUGGACGCAGAGAUGGCUUCGAAGGAACCAGAGAAGCUGCAUGGGAUGAAGGCCUGCGCAUAACAAGAUGCUUCUCCGUGAGGAAAUCAUUCAGGAAUCGACCAGUGAAGAUGAGACUGCCUUCAGCGCUGGGCAACACUGGAAGCCUGUGCUCUUUGGAAGGAAGUAGAUAUGCAUAGCUCUCACGCACGUGUACGUGUAUUUAAAUACAUGCACAGAGUGGAAGAACCUCUGGAUCACCCGGUACCCGUGUUCCCAGUGAGUUUGGACAAAGUGACCCUCUGGCUUCUUGUUUUAACUUUCAUGAUGUAAAGAAAUGGCACUAGAGCAAGAAAACUUCUUUACAUCUGGUAUAUACUUGAAAAAUGAAGAUUCCACACAAAUAAAUAUGGAAGGAAUUUUUAGCCUCUCCCCUGACUUCCUUUCUGGGGCCUGGCACACCGCAAGCUUACGGAACGGAACCAGGACUUAUAUAACAACCCAAAGCAGACAAAGAUGUAGAAACUGUCAGCGUCACAGACAGAGCAGGAGGUGAUCAUUUUUGGAAGUGUGAACCAGCUGAUGGUCCGAGAGGUGGCGGAACCUCGGACUGCACUGGCGUGGCCCACAUUCUGGCCUGUCUCCUUCCUGCUCGACUUCAGUCGUGGACUGGACGCCUUUCUCUGCCAGUAUCAGCCAUGUCAUAUGAUCCGAUGAACUAUUUUUGCGACUCCUUCUUUUCCGUUCUGAAACAGCAAUCGUUGAUACUGUAGGCUCUGCACAUGCGUGCUUCGAAAAUACAGUGCCCCGAUUCUAAGACGAUGGAGAUUUCAUUCGUGACUUCAUCCUCACUUGAAGACGUAAUAGAUUAGUCAAAUGCUUGCAGCUAUGUGAAGAUUACGGUAGGUACAAAUACGGAUGUCAUUAGGGGUAUUCUACUAGCGACUAAACACUAGUGUUCUGCCCCACUUAGGGCCGCCCCUGGGGCAGCUCACAUGUCUCCAGGUCCGCCUUUCACUCUUUCCCUUGUUUCUGGCAUCUGACUUCCCUUUCUCCCUUGGGAACGCAGUUAUGUAUUUUAAAAACACAUUCAGCUAUGUUUUAAACCUGUCUUUUAGCAAGGAAUUUUCCUUAUUGGAAAGCUUCCCCUGUUACUGGAAACAGAACAUGCCUGUUUGAGAUGCACGAAGUAGAGAGAUUUCAUAAAUGAUGAAAGCUAACCAUGUGAUGGCUUUCCCAUAAGGAAGCAUUUCAAAAUGUACAUGUAGAAAGGCAGCGAAGGAGUCAAACUCCGACUAAGUCAUUUGAAACCAUUAUUUUCAGGGCCAAGGAAGGCAUCGCGAGAAUAAGGCUUUUAAAAAACGUUGUAAGUCCUUUGGCGGUGUUUUUAGUUGGACUCAUUUAGAGAUGAUUGGAUAUUGUUAUUUUUAAUUUGAUUUUUUUUUUUUUUAGAACAAAAAUUUACCAAAAUAGAAAGUUUGGCCAUCUCUUUUCCCCACAACUUUAAAAAGUAAACUGUGAGAGUUGGUCAGCAUAGUCUUUCUUUUUUGGACUCGGUUGCUUGCAAAUACACCCACCAUCAAAUUACAUUGUAUUCCUUCUUCUUUUGCCUCCCUGUGGCGGAGGCUUAAUAUAAAUAAAUCCAAAGCCCAGUUUUCUUCUUGUCUGUUGCUCUAAGUAAAUACAAAGAAAUCAGAUGCCUGAGUCCAUUGAUUUCAUUUUUUACAAGCGGAUCUUGUGAGAGCAUUUCUUUACCCCUGGGAUUUCAGGAGAUUUACCUGUAACCUUCUUCGCCAAGAGAACAGCGGUGAUACUUACAUUUGUGCAAUGAGUUGUAGUUUCAAAAGUCGUGCUUGACUCUUGCCAAAGUGACUGAAUGAAGAAGGACUUCAGGGACUGAUUAAAACAACAGCGACAACUCAUUUAAAUCAUUCAGCUCUUUGGCCUGUGCCAGUCCAUACUUCCAUAGGAUUGUACGUUGUGAUUUUUUUUUGUUCUAUUCCUUGACAAGACGUAGACCCAGCUGUUUCUGAAAAUUAUAUGGGCCUGUGAACUCCAGUUUCUCUGUGUGUAAAAUUGGAUAACAAAUUAUCAUGGCUGCUUUCGAAGAGAGCACUGUCUGUAAGUGAAGGAUUCCUUAAACAACUUUGGGGGUGGGGCCGAGAUCCCAUAGAAAUAGGCUGAUCCGCGGGGAGAAGCGAGGGGGGAUCCUAUGACUCACAGGGCUUCUGUGUAGGACGCACAACUUCAGGGCCAGAGCUGAAAUGCUCAUGGCAAUGGCCGUGCUGUUGAGCAUCCUUGAAGUCAUGCCUGUUUCCUGCCCCCUUCUGCGUUCCCUGGUCCCACCCCAUGCAAUUCUCAGCCUCUUCUCUAAAUAAAUAUUGAAGAUAUAUUUACCUAGCAAAGGUGCAUCAAAGUAUAUGGCUGCCCAGGUUGUUCACAUAUCUUGGUUGGGCCCCUGUCAGUUGAAGGGAUAAGGAAGAAACGCGCUGCUGUGGUGAUUUCUGUCAUUUAUUUUUCC
Long non-coding RNA from Lynx canadensis (Canada lynx), 2531 nucleotides. RefSeq lists it as uncharacterized. The record is from RefSeq and is a predicted model, not a curated record. The transcript has 4 exons. Lineage: Eukaryota; Metazoa; Chordata; Mammalia; Carnivora; Felidae.